AGGAUGGCAAGAAGCGCAAGCGCAGC
Molecule: non-coding RNA, 26 nt
Filed under: Cricetulus griseus (Chinese hamster)
Lineage: Eukaryota; Metazoa; Chordata; Mammalia; Rodentia; Cricetidae
Also listed under: 1 other name
Source: RNAcentral